Cinara cedri is the source of this 321-nucleotide non-coding RNA. The record is from the annotation of a GenBank genome assembly. NCBI's taxonomy places the organism in Eukaryota, Metazoa, Arthropoda, Insecta, Hemiptera, Aphididae.
UUCAUUUUUCUUUUCUGGUGUUUAACUUUGUAUAUGUAUCUUUAUAUGUUCAUCGACAACACUUUUAUUUUUUUUUUCGAAAGUGUAGACAAUUAUAUGACGUUAAGUAACUUACUACUAUGUAAAGUGAGAUGUUUAUGAUUGUCUGUAUUAUUUAAUUUGACUUGUAAUUAAGUACUUUGUAUCUAGUUGGCAUUAUACAAUUUGUAUAACUUCUCGAAUGGAUGUGGAGUCCACAGAAAAUCCAGUAAGUCAAUCUAUUGUUAUGUUAUAACUGAUAUUUGAACACAUAAUUUAUCUAUUGAAAUUAUAUACAUUCAU